This 300-nucleotide long non-coding RNA is filed under the name Ovis aries (sheep). Its description in RNAcentral is "lncRNA (ENSOARG00000026236.1)". The record is from RNAcentral. Lineage: Eukaryota; Metazoa; Chordata; Mammalia; Artiodactyla; Bovidae.
GAAAUAAAAUUGGCAGAUUCAACAGAGUGUCAUGGAAAAUUUAAUUGGAAGCUAUGAUCAUGCACGCAUGACUUGGAUAACUGGAUUUUCCUCCAAAAUUGUAACUCUAGAAUGAAUACAAUGCAAUCAUUUUACAGAUUGGAAACUGAAGCCCAGAAAUCUUGUGAGUUUUCACACAAAAGGCAAGAAGGAACUGCUGAAAAAGAUCUCUUGAACUUGGAGAUUUCAGCUAGGUGCAGUCAUGGAUUCUUGCCAAACAACCUUGAUUCUUGCAUUCUAGUAAGUAUGUCUAUUUCCAUG